Long non-coding RNA from Zingiber officinale, 941 nucleotides. RefSeq lists it as uncharacterized. NCBI's taxonomy places the organism in Eukaryota, Viridiplantae, Streptophyta, Magnoliopsida, Zingiberales, Zingiberaceae. The transcript is spliced from 3 exons. The record is from RefSeq and is a predicted model, not a curated record.
CAACAGAAGGGAGCACGCGACAACAGAGAAGAGGAGAGAGCUCUAUCGCCACCGGAGCUUCGCCUUCAUCCACCGAGGUCAAGGGAUUUUCCUUGUCCAUCCUCAUCUCCACCUUCAUCAGAAGCUCCAACUGUUAUCAUCUCCAUCGCCCACACUUCUAUCCAUCUCUGCCAACCUGUCCACACUGCAAGCCACCUCCACCGGAUCCACCGGAGGUUAAGGGGAUUCCCUUCUUUAUUGGAGUUGACGAGUUCUUUCUUACCUCAUCUGCAAUCCCACCUCAUCCAUCUCAAUCCUGAUCAGCAAUAACGGAGAAAAUGGGUGUGCCAAAACAGGAGAUCAUCUUUCACCUUCAUCGCCAAUCACGAGAGUUCCACCCACCAUCGGGAUUAAGGGGAUUUCCUUUCCUAACCACUUCAUUCAAGAUUCAGCGAUCCGUCUUCCAUUCCAUCUCGCGAUGCCAUCAUCCGAGGGCCUACUUCAUCCAUCUCCAUUGGUGAUCCACAGCGUAAGCCCCAUUGAAAGGGGAAUUCCCUUCUUCAGCCAUCUUCAUCCUCCAGCCGCAACCCACAUCAGAUUUGGACAGCACCAUUGAGUUUGACGAAAAGAAAAUGAGGUUGCCUGACUCAGUUGUGCUCUAUUCAAAGUUCGGACGAGACGGAAUUGUAUUUCUAGUGUCCGACACAGUCAUCCCAUGGCCCUUGGCAUGUGUUAUGCUAUAUCUUUUGAUGAACUCUAGAUUUGGUCUUUUAACUUUGUCUUUUAUUUAUUUUAAAUUUUUAGGAUUAUUUUCCUUUUCUAAAAAUUAAUUUAGAUUUUAUCUCCUUUUUUUAGGAUGAGUUUUCUUUUACUUUUUCUUUUGUAUGCGACUUUUUCUUAUUUCUUAGGUUAUUUAAACAAGGGUUAUGACUCUUGUAAAAACAUAUUGUUGAUGCAGCGGG